AGUGAACGCUGGCGGUAGGCCUAACACAUGCAAGUCGAACGGCAGCACAGUAGGAGCUUGCUCUUACGGGUGGCGAGUGGCGGACGGGUGAGGAAUACAUCGGAAUCUACUUUUUCGUGGGGGAUAACGUAGGGAAACUUACGCUAAUACCGCAUACGACCUACGGGUGAAAGCAGGGGAUCUUCGGACCUUGCGCGAUUGAAUGAGCCGAUGUCGGAUUAGCUAGUUGGCGGGGUAAAGGCCCACCAAGGCGACGAUCCGUAGCUGGUCUGAGAGGAUGAUCAGCCACACUGGAACUGAGACACGGUCCAGACUCCUACGGGAGGCAGCAGUGGGGAAUAUUGGACAAUGGGCGCAAGCCUGAUCCAGCCAUACCGCGUGGGUGAAGAAGGCCUUCGGGUUGUAAAGCCCUUUUGUUGGGAAAGAAAAGCAGCAGGUUAAUACCCCGCUGUUCUGACGGUACCCAAAGAAUAAGCACCGGCUAACUUCAUG
Molecule: ribosomal RNA, 492 nt
Filed under: uncultured bacterium
Lineage: Bacteria
Description: partial 16S ribosomal RNA
Rfam family: Bacterial small subunit ribosomal RNA
Source: RNAcentral